This 501-nucleotide ribosomal RNA is filed under the name Pirozynskiella laurisilvatica. RNAcentral's name for it is "eukaryotic LSU rRNA". The record is from RNAcentral. Lineage: Eukaryota; Fungi; Ascomycota; Dothideomycetes; Asterinales; Asterinaceae.
GACCGGUGCCCUCUGGGUGCCUACUCCCACCAUAUGUGAACUCAUAACCGUUGCUUUGGCGGGCCGGCCUUGCGCCCCUCGGCCCCAGCUGGGGAGCGCCCGCCAGAGGACCAUUAAACCCGUUUAAUCGUGGCAUCUGAGUACUGUUUAAUAAAGUCAAAACUUUCAACAACGGAUCUCUUGGUUCUGGCAUCGAUGAAGAACGCAGCGAAAUGCGAUAAGUAAUGUGAAUUGCAGAAUUCAGUGAAUCAUCGAAUCUUUGAACGCACAUUGCGCCCUUUGGUAUUCCGAAGGGCAUGCYUGCUCGAGCGUCAUUUAAACCUUCAAGCCUAGCUUGGUAUUGGGUGCAGGUCUUGCUGAGACCCACCCGUAACUCGUUGCGGCACCGACCGGCUUCAAGCGUAGCAAAAUAUUUCGCUUAGGAGCCCGGGCGGCGCCCGCCAGGGAAACACAUCUAAAGUUUGACCUCGGAUCAGGUAGGGAUACCCGCUGAACUUAAGC